GCAGGGCCGGGGCGGGACCGGGGCCGGCGGGGCGGGAGCGGCGGCCCCGGGGGCGGUGAAAAGGAGCCGGGGGCGGCCGAGCGCCGCCGCCGCCCGCCAUGAGGGCAGCGCUCGCCCCCGGGGUUCGCCUGCUCCGCGCCCUCCCCCGGGACAGCCGCUAUCGGGGACUGACCCUGGUACUGACCUUCCUCUCCUACGCCAGCUACCACCUCUCCCGAAAGCCCAUCAGCAUCGUCAAGAGCCAGCUGCACCCCAACUGCUCAGCCUUGGGCCCGAACCCCCACAAUGACUCCAACAGCACCACCUGGUGCAGCUGGGCCCCCUUUGAUGGGGACAACUACAAGGAACUUUUUGGGGCGCUGGAUAAUGCCUUCCUGGUGGCCUACGCCAUCGGGAUGUUUAUCAGCGGCAUUUUUGGGGAGCGCCUCCCUCUGCGCUACUACCUGUCGGGGGGAAUGGUGAUGAGCGGGCUCUUCACCCUCCUUUUCGGCCUCGGCUACUUCUGGGACAUCCACGUCCUCUGGUACUUCAUUGUCGUGCAGGUCUGCAAUGGGCUGGUGCAGACAACAGGCUGGCCUGCUGUCGUGGCAUGCGUUGGAAACUGGUUUGGCAAAGGAAAGAGAGGUUUCAUCAUGGGCAUCUGGAACUCCCACACCUCCGUUGGCAACAUCUUAGGGUCGCUCAUCGCCGGUGCCUGGGUUUCCUCUGCCUGGGGCCUGUCCUUUGUGGUGCCUGGCAUCAUCAUCACCAUCGUGGGCGUCAUCUGCUUCUUCUUCCUCGUGGAGUAUCCUGAGGAUGUUGACUGCAAUCCUCCUCUGCAUCACACGGCCGCUGAUGAGGAUCCUGGAGGAGUGACCACCAGUGAGAAGGAUCCUGAAGCAGUCAUCUCCAACGAGGGCCCACUCAGCCUCUCAGGCCAGUGCAGCGUGGAUCACUCCAAGAGCACCAAGGAGCCAGCUGAGGAGCCCGAAGCCAUCAGCUUCCUUGGGGCACUUCGGAUACCUGGCGUAGUGGAGUUCUCCCUGUGCCUGCUCUUUGCCAAGCUGGUGAGCUACACCUUCCUUUACUGGCUGCCCCUCUACAUUGUCAACGUUGCUCAUUUCGGUGCCAAGGAAGCCGGGGACCUGUCGACCCUCUUUGAUGUCGGGGGUAUUUUAGGGGGGAUCUUCGCUGGCCUCAUCUCUGACUACACUGGCGGCAGAGCCACCACGUGCUGCGUGAUGCUGGUGGUCGCUGCUCCCAUGCUGUUCCUGUAUAACCAUGUGGGCCAGAAUGGCAUUGGCACAUCAAUAGCAAUGCUGAUCAUCUGUGGUGCUCUGGUUAACGGGCCCUACGCGCUCAUCACGACAGCGGUGUCGGCAGAUUUGGGCACCCAUGAGUCUCUCAAAGGAAAUGCCAAAGCCCUUUCGACGGUCACGGCCAUCAUCGACGGCACGGGAUCUGUUGGUGCUGCGCUGGGGCCGCUGCUGGCCGGGCUCAUCUCUCCCACGGGCUGGAAUAACGUGUUUUACAUGCUGAUAGCAGCUGAUGUCCUGGCUUGUCUGCUCCUGGCUCGCGUGGUGGUCAAGGAGGCCCGUGGCUGGUGUGGCUCCAUGGCGAGGCAGAGAGGGUGACCCCACAGUCCCACAGCACAGCAGUGCCAUCCCCCCGGAGGCAGAUGGGGAAGAGGCUGCACAGAUUUUGGAGGAAUGCUGCUGGCCUGCUGGGAAGGUGUGACAUCAAAAUCACCAGGACACCCCAAUGUGCUUGUGAUGCAUAAAUGCUCAGCAUUUCCUCAACACACUCGGCUUCAGGACAGGAAGGGAUUGAGCACGGCUGCGGUUUGGAAAGCAGAGAUGCCUCUUUUCUGCUUUUUUUGGGACUGUACUUACAUUUUUUAGCUGACUGAGUCAGUGCUCCGGGGUGCUGGGGCAUUUUCUGCCAGGGAAGCAUCACCUCCACACCCACUGGCUCUGCCUUAUCAAUCUUUCAUGUCCUGCAAGCCCUGCUUAGUGACUGGCAGCUGUCAGACAGGGCUGGAAAAAGCCAGUUGGUUCUUUAAUUUACUGUCAUCAGUUCAAAAUUAAAAAAAAAAAUCUCUAAAAUGGGGGAAAAAGAAAUCUGAGUUUCUGCCCUCAAGUUUUUGGCUAUUUUGACCCUGACCACUGCUCAGGGCUUUGCCCUCCCUGCAAUACUUGCUGCCUGCUCAGCCAUGGAGGGUGAGCAGCUCCAUCCCUGUGGGGCUGGAGAACAGGAGCCAAAACAGAGCCCACCUCAGCCCGUGACCUGGGAUCCUGUGGGGACCUCUGCCCACACAGCAGGGAGGGUAAAGGCUUCUCCCCUCCUGAAACAGUCACAGGAUGCUCCAGGCCACCAAAAAUGCCUUUUUUCUGCAAUUCAAAGCUUUUUGAGAUUUCAUGCAAGAAAAACUGCUGCCACGGAGGGCACAGAGCAGCAGUGGCUGUGCAGAGAGCUCGUGCCACUGCUGCCCACAGCUCAGCACAGCACAGGCUCUGCUGCAGCAAACUGCUGCCCUGCUUCCCCCCAAAAAUAGGGGCAAAAUGGCAUUCAACCCCAUUGCUGCUCCUGCAAAACAUACAGAGUGUUUUCUCCCCCAGGAGGGGAAAAGAGGGACACGAGGUGACCAGCAGGAUCUGUGCUAGAAUUGAGCAAAGGUUUGAAGUUUUAGGGUAGCAGCAACUGUGAGCCUUUGGCAUCACUGAGUGCCACCUGAGGGCCUUGACAGCCAGGGAACACUCAGGUGUCACCAGGGGGCUUUCCAUGGCUGGCAGGACUGCUCAGCACCAGGAGGGCACACACAGCCUCUCCCUCACUCCUCACUUUCCUUUUGCUGUUCUGGAUCACUUGGCAUUCACUCCCCAC
Passer domesticus (house sparrow) is the source of this 2862-nucleotide RNA transcript. It is a transcript of the gene named solute carrier family 37 member 2, with no coding region annotated. The record is from RefSeq and is a predicted model, not a curated record. Lineage: Eukaryota; Metazoa; Chordata; Aves; Passeriformes; Passeridae. The transcript has 19 exons.